GGAUGGUUAGACAUAUUAAUGUGUUGACCUGAUUUAAUCAGUCGGAUGUCAGAUCUGUUAAUUUAGAAGAGACCUAAAUCCAAAUCUUCUCAUCAAAUAUUAAGUCUAGAGAUCUUCCAUCGUUGUAGAGAUGCGGAUACCUUCCUAGCGUUGAUCGUUCUAGGCUGGUUACAGUGGUUCAGUUGCAUUGGAAAGAUACAACCACUUUAUUGACAUUUAAUAUCCUAGGGUAGAGAUGGGGUUGGACCCAAUAACUAUUAGGUGAGGGUCCCAAUGA
This 277-nucleotide long non-coding RNA is filed under the name Elaeis guineensis (African oil palm). Its description in RNAcentral is "long non-coding RNA (EGUI_LNC045881)". The record is from RNAcentral. Lineage: Eukaryota; Viridiplantae; Streptophyta; Magnoliopsida; Arecales; Arecaceae.